GUCACAUCAACCUGACUCUGUUCAGAGAUGGGCAGCCUGUAUCUGAUCAUGAGAUCACUGGAGGAGAUCUGCUGCCCAAUGCUGACGGGACGUACCAGAUGAGGAAGAGUCUGGAGAUCAGUGCUGCAGACAAACACAAAUACACCUGCUCUGUCACACACCUCAGUCUGGACGACAAACUGGACAUUGAUUUGGAGUAUCCAGGGGAAACAUUUGAGGUGGUGGUUUUGGCAUUGGGAUUGGUGUUUUUGACUGUGGUUGCCAUUUUUAUAUCGAGGAGAAGGUAUCGUUCAGUUUCCUCUUCAAGUAACUACUCUUCUGCUUCUAGUGGGUAUUUUCUGUCCAGGUUGUGAUUUAAUUAAUUUGCACGAAGAAUAACAAAAUAUAAAUUAAUCUGAAUAUUUUCUAACACAUUCUUUUUUUUACCAUCAUUUUCAGCAAGUGAAGAUGGCAUGAAUAAAACCUAAUUUGGUUUCUUGCAAAAACGUAUCAGGGAAUUGGUCUUUGUGAACUGCGGGACAACAACAAACCUGGACAAAUUAUUGCCAAGACUGUUUUUGAUGGCUCCACAACAGAAGAAGUGGGAUAUUUUGGUGGCAAGUAAAGGUCCUUUAAAAUACUCAGAUGAGAACACAAAUCCUUAUCUCCAGCUGUUUAUGUGGUAUCAUGAGAUGUUAUGCUUUCCAAACUGUAUAAAAACUCUCAAGACUUUGACAACAAACUGGACUGUCACUUUGGAAGAUGCACUUUCCAGUUAUCACACAGGUGUUCUGCUAUCUGGUGCUGCUGUCCUGCUGUUGUUAUGUGUGAUUUUGUCAAUAGCAAUAGCCAUUUGCAUGACAAGUCAAGCAGAAAGACAGAGAGGUAGGCCUAAUUUAAUGUUCU
This is a long non-coding RNA of Cyprinus carpio carpio, 885 nucleotides long. Lineage: Eukaryota; Metazoa; Chordata; Actinopteri; Cypriniformes; Cyprinidae. The record is from Ensembl.